AAUAGAUACCCUGGUAGUCCACGCCGUAAACGAUGGGUACUAGGUUUGGUGGGUCUUGACCCCCGCCGAACCGGCGCUAACGCACUAAGUACCCCGCCUGGGAAGUACGGUCGCAAGACUAAAACUCAAAGGAAUUGACGGGGGCCCGCACAAGCGGUGGAUCAUGUGGUUUAAUUCGAAGCAACGCGAAGAACCUUACCUGGAUUUGACAUCCUCGGACAACCCUAGAGAUAGGGCUUUCGUAGCAAUACGACCGGGAGACAGGUGCUGCAUGGCUGUCGUCAGCUCGUGUGGUGACAUGUUGGGUUAAGUCCCGCAACGAGCGCAACCCUUGUCCUUAGUUGCCAGCAUUCAGUUGGGCUCUCUAAGGAGACUGCCGUGGUUAACACGGAGGAAGUGGGGAUGACGUCAAGUCCUCAUGGCCUUUAUAUCCAGGGCGACACACGUGAUACAAUGGUCGGUACAGAGGGAUGCGAACCCGCGAGGGGGAGCUAAUCUCAAAAAAGCCGAUCUCAGUUCGGAUUGGAGUCUGCAACUCGACUCCA
RNAcentral lists this ribosomal RNA (545 nucleotides) under uncultured bacterium. Its description in RNAcentral is "bacterial SSU rRNA". It matches the Rfam family "Bacterial small subunit ribosomal RNA", at positions 777 to 1320 of the family's 1533-position model. The record is from RNAcentral.